GCGGAUGGGUGAGUAACACGUGGGUAACCUGCCCUAAAGUCUGGGAUACCACUUGGAAACAGGUGCUAAUACCGGAUAACAACAAUAGCUGCAUGGCUAUUGCUUAAAAGGCGGCGAAAGCUGUCGCUAAAGGAUGGACCCGCGGCGCAUUAGCUAGUUGGUAAGGUAAUGGCUUACCAAGGCGACGAUGCAUAGCCGAGUUGAGAGACUGAUCGGCCACAUUGGGACUGAGACACGGCCCAAACUCCUACGGGAGGCAGCAGUAGGGAAUCUUCCACAAUGGGCGAAAGCCUGAUGGAGCAACGCCGCGUGAGUGAAGAAGGUUUUCGGAUCGUAAAGCUCUGUUGUUGGUGAAGAAGGAUAGAGGUAGUAACUGGCCCCUAUUUGACGGUAAUCAACCAGAAAGUCACGGCUAACUACGUGCCAGCAGCCGCGGUAAUACGUAGGUGGCAAGCGUUGUCCGGAUUUAUUGGGCGUAAAGCGAGCGCAGGCGGAAAGAUAAGUCUGAUGUGAAAGCCCCCGGCUUAACCGAGGAAUUGCAUCGGAAACUGUGUUUCUUGAGUGCAGAAGAGGAGAGUGGAACUCCAUGUGUAGCGGUGGAAUGCGUAGAUAUAUGGAAGAACACCAGUGGCGAAGGCGGCUCUCUGGUCUGUAACUGACGCUGAGGCUCGAAAGCAUGGGUAGC
This 685-nucleotide ribosomal RNA is filed under the name uncultured bacterium. Its description in RNAcentral is "bacterial SSU rRNA". It matches the Rfam family "Bacterial small subunit ribosomal RNA", at positions 98 to 769 of the family's 1533-position model. The record is from RNAcentral.